GUGAGGAAUUUUCCGCAAUGGGCGAAAGCCCGACGGAGCAAUGCCGCGUGAAGGAUGAAGGCCUAUGGGUUGUAAACUUCUUUUCUCAGAAAAGAAUUAUGACGGUAUCUGAGGAAUAAGCAUCGGCUAACUCUGUGCCAGCAGCCGCGGUAAGACAGAGGAUGCAAGCGUUAUCCGGAAUGAUUGGGCGUAAAGCGUCUGUAGGUUGUUUAAAAAGUAUUCUGUCAAAGAUUAGGGCUUAACCCUAGAUAGGCAGAAUAAACUUUUAAGCUAGAGUUUGGUAGAGGCAGAGGGAAUUCCCGGUGGAGCGGUGAAAUGCGUAGAUAUCGGGAGGAACACCAAAGGCGAAGGCACUCUGCUGGGCCAAUACUAACACUGAGAGACGAAAGCGAGGGGAGCAAAUGGGAUUAGAAACCCCGGUAGUCC
This 426-nucleotide ribosomal RNA is filed under the name uncultured bacterium. Its description in RNAcentral is "bacterial SSU rRNA". It matches the Rfam family "Bacterial small subunit ribosomal RNA", at positions 354 to 796 of the family's 1533-position model. The record is from RNAcentral.